CGCACGGCACGGUGGGCAAGGGAGCACAGCAUCGGCACUGCAGCGGCCCGGCCCGGCCCGGCCCAGCCCGGGGAGGGGACCACAGCACAGCCAGCACCGCCUGCCCUGGGCAAAGGACUGAGGCCCAGGCCUCAGUCCUGGGUUGCUUGGCAGGGGAAUCCUGGGAACCGGAGCAGGCUCCUGCCUUUGGUUCUGGGACUUGGGUUUGGGGAGAAAAGCGCCAGCUGUCUCCAUGAUGGGGGCCCAGGCCUGUCCUGGACCUCUGUGCUAGGAGAGGGUUGCAGCAGAGGGAGAGCAAGGCCUUGGGGAGAGUGAAUGGGCGCCUAAAGAGUCUGCCUCAGCCAGGUGGUGCAGAGGAACUCCAGGGGGGAGCCAGGCACCAGUGAGAGCCCCUGGAGAGCCGACAGACCUCCGAGGGACCUGCAGGGAUCAUGCAGACCCAAGGGCGCCAAAGGAGCCUGGUGGAGAUGCCGCUUGAAUGCGCAGGCCUUGGCCAUGCUCCGGUGCAGUGCAGGGACUGGGUGUAAGGCAGAGUGGUCCCAGGCCAGGCCUGAAAGCAGAGGGAGUGAGCAGGGCAGAGUACUGGGGACCUGUCCCCCAUAGGGGGUAAGCAGGAGGCAGAGUCCCUGGUGAGUGGGACUCCAGAUCCUUUUGUUCAAAGGAACCCCAUUCUUUUAGGGAGGCUGGGACCUUGGGGCGUCUCUGCCCACGGAGCUCCUUCCUCCCUUUAGUACUGAGAGUAGAGAGAGAAGCUACAGGGAGAAAGACUGACAGUGACACACAGAUUAGCGGGAAGAAAGUGAGAAGAUGAGGGAACACACUGAGAGGGACAGGAAAGAAGAGAAAGGAAGAAGGGAAAAGGAAAGAAGAGGGGAGAGAGUGAGAGAGGAAAGGAGAGAGAGGGAAAGCCCAGAGUGAUGAAGGGAGGAAGAAGGGAGAGAGGAACUGAGAGGGGGACACUGGAGAGGAAGAGAGGGAGCAGAGUGUGCACCGGAGGCCCUGCCCUGGUGAGCGCCUAGGAGGGGUUUGGCGUGGGGUUCCGGGCCAGCACUCACUACCCCGGUCCGAUCCGGAGAGAGCCAAGUUACUCAGAGGUGAAGGUGCUGGGCAGAGAAAUAUGUAAAUCAGGGCUCCUAGCGCCUCGGCGAGUGGCGCAAUUGCACCCCUUGAACAAGAAGCAACAAGCUCCCGGCGGCCGGUCUAAGUCCGCGUACUUAAAGCGGCGCGGGCGGGCGAAAGCGGGCGGGCGGCCCAGUCGGGCAGUGGCAGAUGCGCCCAGCGGUGGCAGCCACAGGCGGAGCACAGGUGACCGGCCUGCGGCGCAGCCUAGCCAGGAGGCGCCCCGGGAGAGCUGGCGGGAGAGGGAGGCAGAUCCACCCCCAGCGUGCGCUCGCUCGUGCUAGUCUCGGCGCCGGGAGCCGUCCCGGGGCGUGUUGGCGAGAGCUGAUAUAGAUAUAAGGACAUUUCUCUCCAUGGCGUCACGUGACAUAAUUACCA
This 1497-nucleotide long non-coding RNA is filed under the name Heterocephalus glaber (naked mole-rat). RNAcentral describes it as "lncRNA (ENSHGLG00100048058.1)". Lineage: Eukaryota; Metazoa; Chordata; Mammalia; Rodentia; Bathyergidae. The record is from RNAcentral.